GACGAACGCUGGCGGCGCGCUUAACACAUGCAAGUCGAGCGAGAACCCACCUUCGGGUGGGGGAAAGCGGCGAACGGGUGAGUAACACGUGGGUAACCCACCCUUGGUACCGGGAUAGCCCGGGGAAACCCGGAUUAAUACCGGAUGGCCCAACAGCUCCUCGGAGCGGUUGGAAAAGGUAGCUUCGGCCUCCGACCAAGGACGGGCCCGCGGCGGAUUAGCUUGUUGGUGGGGUAAUGGCCCACCAAGGCGACGAUCCGUAGCUGGUCGAGAGGACGAUCAGCCACACUGGGACUGAGACACGGCCCAGACACCUACGGGUGGCAGCAGUCGAGAUUUUCUCAAUGGGGGCAACCCUGAAGGAGCGACGCCGCGUGGAGGAUGAAGGCUUUCGGGUUGUAACU
This 404-nucleotide ribosomal RNA is filed under the name uncultured bacterium. RNAcentral's name for it is "bacterial SSU rRNA". It matches the Rfam family "Bacterial small subunit ribosomal RNA", at positions 28 to 431 of the family's 1533-position model. The record is from RNAcentral.